AGUGAACGCUGGCGGUAGGCCUAACACAUGCAAGUCGAACGGCAGCACAGUAAGAGCUUGCUCUUACGGGUGGCGAGUGGCGGACGGGUGAGGAAUACAUCGGAAUCUACUUUUUCGUGGGGGAUAACGUAGGGAAACUUACGCUAAUACCGCAUACGACCUACGGGUGAAAGCAGGGGAUCUUCGGACCUUGCGCGAUUGAAUGAGCCGAUGUCGGAUUAGCUAGUUGGCGGGGUAAAGGCCCACCAAGGCGACGAUCCGUAGCUGGUCUGAGAGGAUGAUCGGCCACACUGGAGCUGAGCCACGGUCCAGACUCCUACGGGAGGCAGCAGUGGGGAAUAUUGGACAAUGGGCGCAAGCCUGAUCCAGCCAUACCGCGUGGGUGAAGAAGGCCUUCGGGUUGUAAAGCCCUUUUGUCGGGAAAGAAAAGCAGCAGGUUAAUACCCCGCUGUUCUGACGGUACCCAAAGAAUAAGCACCGGCUAACUUCGUG
RNAcentral lists this ribosomal RNA (492 nucleotides) under uncultured bacterium. RNAcentral's name for it is "partial 16S ribosomal RNA". It matches the Rfam family "Bacterial small subunit ribosomal RNA", at positions 29 to 507 of the family's 1533-position model. The record is from RNAcentral.